GGAAGGAUCAUUAUUGAUUGCGAAUCGUUGCCUUCUGUGCUGGCCAGCUCUGGCAAGUGCACGUCGGUGACUUUCAUCCAAUACCCUGUGAACCUUUGGCCUCUGCUAGCUUCGGCCGGCAGGGGAAUUUACACACACUCGAAUGUAAUGAAAUUUAUUGUCGUGCGCAAGCACUAAUGUACAACUUUCAACAACGGAUCUCUUGGCUCUCGCAUCGAUGAAGAACGCAGCGAAAUGCGAUAAGUAAUGUGAAUUGCAGAAUUCAGUGAAUCAUCGAAUCUUUGAACGCACCUUGCACCCUUUGGCAUUCCGAAGGGUAUGCUCGUUUGAGUGUCAUUGUACUCUCACACUCCCGGUCUUUGGAUUGGGAGGUGGACUUGGGUGUUGCUGCUUACCGUGGCUCACCUCAAAUGGAUUCGUGCAACUCUUGGUUGGACAUAGUACGGCGUAAUAAGUGUUUCGCCGGCACCUCACUAGAGGGUGGCUGAUCGGGAGCUCUGUGCUUCAAACCGUCUUCGGACAAUGACUGACAACUUGACCUCAAAUCGAGUAGGACCACCCGCUGAACUUAAGCAUAUCAAUAAGCGGAGGAAAAGAAACUAACAAGGAUUCCCCUAGUAACGGCGAGUGAAGAGGGAAGAGCUCAAAUUUUGAAUCUGGCGUCUUUGGCGUCCGAAUUGUAAUCUAGAGAAGUGUUUUCCGUGACGGACCGUGCAUAAGUCUCCUGGAAUGGAGUGUCAUAGAGGGUGAGAAUCCCGUAUAUGGCACGGACUCCCGUUGCUCUGUGAUACACUCUCGACGAGUCGAGUUGUUUGGGAAUGCAGCUCUAAAUGGGUGGUAAAUGCCAUCUAAAGCUAAAUAUUGGCGAGAGACCGAUAGCGAA
This 883-nucleotide ribosomal RNA is filed under the name uncultured fungus. Its description in RNAcentral is "eukaryotic LSU rRNA". The stretch from base 536 to 883 matches the Rfam family "Eukaryotic large subunit ribosomal RNA", at positions 1 to 344 of the family's 3401-position model. The record is from RNAcentral. Lineage: Eukaryota; Fungi.